AAUAUUGGACAAUGGGGGGAACCCUGAUCCAGCCAUCCCGCGUGUGCGACGAAGGCCUUCGGUUUGUAAAGCACUUUUGGCAGGAAAGAAAGCGCAUAGGAUAAUACCCUGUGUGGAUGACUGUACCUGCAGAAUAAGCACCGGCCAACUACGUGCCGUCAGCCGCGGUAAUACGUAGGGUGCAAGCGUUAAUCGGAAUUACUGGGCGUAAAGCGUGCGCAGGAGGUUCGGAAAGAAAGAUGUGAAAUCCCAGGGCUUAACCUUGGAACUGCAUUUUUAACUACCGGGCUAGAGUGUGUCAGAGGGAGGUGGAAUUCCGCGUGUAGCAGUGAAAUGCGUAGAUAUGCGGAGGAACAACGAUGGCGAAGGCAGCCUCCUGGGAUAACACUGACGCUCAUGCACGAAAGCGUGGGGAGCAAACAG
Molecule: ribosomal RNA, 423 nt
Filed under: uncultured bacterium
Lineage: Bacteria
Description: partial 16S ribosomal RNA
Rfam family: Bacterial small subunit ribosomal RNA
Source: RNAcentral